This is a non-coding RNA of Malus domestica (apple), 946 nucleotides long. The record is from RefSeq and is a predicted model, not a curated record. Lineage: Eukaryota; Viridiplantae; Streptophyta; Magnoliopsida; Rosales; Rosaceae.
GUAGGUAUAGGGUGAGAGAGUGCCAGAUGCGUCUCUUGCAGCCCAUCCUGUGGUUGUUCUCUCCGCUUCUAGGUUGCCCAUUUGAAUUUGUUUUGGAGAGAGAGAGAGAGAGAGAGAGAGAGAGGGAGAGAGAGAGAGAGAGAGAGAGAUGGAUAUACCAAAUGAUGCAUGUUCAAGGAGUACUAGAACAACAUUAUUGGAAUUGUAUAACAAUACUUGCCAUAAUUUUGGUAAGGAAUCAGUUGACAGUGUGGGGUUCAUGAAUUUGGAUUUGGAUUUGGCAUUCUCUAAUAUUAACCAAGGAGUGGAAAUUUUGAUUGGUUUGAUUGGUAUUUUGGGUAUGUUGUUUGCAUUCAACAUUCUAUAAUUAUGAGAGAAACCAAGAUCAUCGUAUUAUAUAUUUUAUUAACAUUCAACAUUUAUAAUUGUGCUUUUUCAAAAAAACAAAAUACAUUUAUAAUUGUGAACUAUCUUUGUGGGUUUAUCAAUUUAUUUUUUAUGGUUUUCAGUUUCCUAAAUGAAGUUUGACAUGUAUGGAAUUUGACAAUUUAUCUUCGUUUGCAUUCUUGCAUUUGAAUUUGUAAGUCAGUUUGUGCUAAAUGCUAUUUAAUAAUUUAGAAAACGUUUCAAUUGUUUCAAUUGAUUGUUAUGCAACACAGUUGGAAACUUGAUGAUUUAGAAUCAGCUUAUCAAUCUUCCAUACAAUUUCUAAUCCCGCAGCAACGCACGGGUAACAAUUUCUAGUUAAGAUCUAAAACUUAAAGCAAAAUGAAAUUUGAACUAUAAAAAUACAAAUUGAAAAGGGUUAGAUUUUAGCAACUUGUAAAUAUGAGGUAGUGCGAUUUCAAAAUUUUUAGGAGAUCGAAUUGUGGCUGGACUUAAACAACUAACAAAUCACACAUAUUGAACAAUGAGAAAAAAUUCCUAUGUAUUUAAUUUUGUUACA